Molecule: long non-coding RNA, 661 nt
Filed under: Olea europaea subsp. europaea
Lineage: Eukaryota; Viridiplantae; Streptophyta; Magnoliopsida; Lamiales; Oleaceae
Source: RNAcentral
AGAAUUGUUAUUUUUCCUUCUCACUGUGCAUUCUCCACAAUCUUCUAUACACUUUCUCCCAAAAAAAACUAAACUUUGAUUUCCCCAAUCUUCUAUAUGAAAACCUAAUUGAUUUUUCCCAAAUCAUUUUCCAUCCAAAAUCGAGAAAUUUUGCCUCCUUCCAUACCUCAUCAUGGAAGUUUCUUCAUCAACCUGGAAUGCCGAACAUAUAAUUAUAUCAUUGUGGUUAUAGAACUGUUACAAAGAGUUCAUGGAUGAAGAACAAUCUAGGAAGACGGUUUUGGAGAUGUAGAUAUUAUGGACGGCCAGAUGCUUGCAACUAUUUUUCUUAGGUCGACCCACCUGUUUAUCCCACGCUACAAGAGUGUAAUAAAUGGCCUAAUCCACCGAUUGAAUGAUAUGUAACAGAAGGAGUGUAUGAUGAGCAAAUCCUUGAAGCCAUAUUAGGUAAGAUUCAGAUUCCUCAUAAGUUACAGUGUUAUCGGUCUUUUUGUGUUUAGUGGGUUCAGCUAUGGAUCGAAUAUGUUGUUUGUUAUUGGUAUUUGGUAGUUGUAUAUUGGUGAUUUAGUUAUACUGAUGGUGUUGUGUAAGUGGUGAUGGUUGUGGAAUCAUCUAAGCAAACCAUAUGUUUUACAGUGUUUAGCCAAAUGUUACUUGUUCC